CUUCCAGUAGCACCUUAGAGACCAACUAAGUAAGUUAUUGGUAUGAGCUGACUAAGUAUGGUAUCUGAAGAAGUGUACAUAUACACAAAAGCUCAUACCAAUAACAUACUUAGUUGGUCUCUAAGGUGCUACUGGAAG
Non-coding RNA from Podarcis lilfordi (Lilford's wall lizard), 138 nucleotides. The record is from the annotation of a GenBank genome assembly. NCBI's taxonomy places the organism in Eukaryota, Metazoa, Chordata, Lepidosauria, Squamata, Lacertidae.